Molecule: long non-coding RNA, 345 nt
Organism: Solanum verrucosum
Lineage: Eukaryota; Viridiplantae; Streptophyta; Magnoliopsida; Solanales; Solanaceae
Exons: 2
Source: RefSeq, a predicted model, not a curated record
AAAGAGACACUCAGAAGAUCUCUUUCCAGUAAAACUAGGGGUGCUAAAAGUGGAGUGAUAUCAUUCUCAAUUAAAGUGGAGUGAUACAGUUGUUUUGUUCUCUUGUUGAUGUAAAGAUAAUUAAUUCACUCAAUCGUUGCAAACCCCUAGGCAUAGGGAUCUGGGCCAGAGUCUGAAAUCUUUUUCCUAACCUUGUAUCAAACGGAAGAAGGGCUGCAGAGAUUCAUGUGUGGCUCGAAGACCAGUUUGUUGUGCUGCUCAAGAGGAGAAGAAACAAUGCAAUGCAAUAUUCUUCUUCAUCUUUAUUAUUGUGAUGCACACAAGCUGGUCUGGACACAACUAUUA